This is an RNA transcript of Numida meleagris (helmeted guineafowl), 3241 nucleotides long. It is a transcript of the gene named methylcrotonoyl-CoA carboxylase beta chain, mitochondrial-like, with no coding region annotated. The record is from RefSeq and is a predicted model, not a curated record. Lineage: Eukaryota; Metazoa; Chordata; Aves; Galliformes; Numididae. The transcript has 14 exons.
GGCGAGGCCCGCGGGCGCUGAGAGGCCUGCGGGCGGAGGCGGGCCCGGCGCGCGGGGCGCGGGGCAGAGGCCUCCGGGGGCAGAGGCGGCGGUGCGGGUAGUGGAGCCGCCCCCGGGGCGGGCCCGGAGCGGUCGGCGCGGCGUUGGCUGCCCUUCCCAGGGUCAUGUGGAACAGCAUCGCCCUGUGCUCCGUUUGCAAGCCUUCCCCUAACACGGUGUCAUUACUGCUGCCAAGACUCCUACCCUUAACUCAUAUCUUCAGAAGAAUGUGUAAGGGCUUCAGCAGUAAGCGGUUGAUGCAGAUAGCACAGAACAGGGCAUGCAGCACGCUGCCCGGCCGCUUAGCGGGUAGCAAAGCAAAACGCAGCCGGUGUGCACAGCAUUACCCGCUGUUAGAUGGACGCGUCCUGUCUGUGCACCGACACGUGUUUGAAGAGAAUUUCAGGAACAGCGAGGCGGUUAUUAAAAGAUACUCGGAGUUGCUCCAGGUGGUCAGUAAAGGAGGGGGAGAGAAUGCCAUCUUGCGUCACACUCAGAGAAACAAGAAGCUGUUUGUCCGGGAGCGCCUGAAGCUGCUUCUUGAUGAUGAGUCUUUCCUCGAGCUGUCUCCCCUGGCAGGCCUCAGUAUGCCAUAUGGUGACGUCCCGGCUGCUGGGUGCCUUACUGGAAUUGGGAAGAUCUGUGGGAUUUGGUGUGUCUUUGUAGCAAAUGAUGCAACUGUAAAAGGAGGAACUAUUUAUCCAAUUGGAGUGAAGAAACAGCUGAGAGCUCAGGAGAUAGCCAUGCAGAACAGGCUGGUGUCCGUGUACCUUGUUGACAGCGGGGGAGCAUUCCUGCCACUACAGUCAGAGCUGUUUCCUGACAAGUUGCAUGGUGGACGAAUUUUCUACAAUGAAGCAAUAAUAUCUGCUAUGAAAAUCCCUCAGGUGGCAGUGGUGUGUGGCUCCUGCGUAGCUGGGGGUGCCUAUGUCCCAACCAUGGCCGAAGAAGCUGUGAUUGUAGAUAAAAUUGGUACGCUGUUCCUUGCUGGCCCACCUCUGGUGAGAGCUGCUACUGGAGAGUAUGUUUCUCCAGAGGACCUAGGAGGAGCUACACUUCACUCUAGAGUCAGUGGCUGCAGUGACCAUUUUGCAUCUUCAGAAAAGGAAGCCUAUGAGUGUGUUCGAAAUAUUAUCUCAACGUUGAAUUAUGAGCCUGUGCCAGAAGAGCUCGUGGAGCAUGACCAUCCUCUCUAUAGCUCUGAUGAGCUCUUGGGGCUGGCCCCACAAGAUUAUAGGUGUACUCUUCCUGUAAAAUUGGUUCUGAGCCGCCUGCUGGAUGGAAGCAGGUUCCAGGAGUUCAAGGCUGACUAUGGAACAACAUUAGUAACAGGAUUUGGCCACGUGGAAGGGCACUUGGUGGGAGUAGUGGCUAACAAUGGGGAGCUUUCUCAUGAUGCUGCUCUCAAGGGCAGCCAUUUCGUGCAGCUGUGCAGUCACCGGGCCAUUCCCAUCCUCUUUUUCCAAAAUACUGCUCCACAUGCAGCAGAGCCAACAAGCAUCUCACAGGCUGAGGCUCAGGCCAACAGAUUGAAAGCCCAGGCCUCCAUGAUGGCUGCUGUUGCUUGUGCAGCUGUUCCCAAAAUAACCAUAGUGAUCGGCGGCUGUUUUGGGAGCGAAAGUUACGCGAUGUGUGGGAGAUCAUUCAGUCCGAACUUUCUGUUCUUGUGGCCUAAUGCAAGAGUUGCUCUUGUGGAUUCAAGACAUUUGUCCGUGGUCCCACAAGCUGGAGACAGUGGUUGUACAGAUGAAUCCGAGCUAAAACAUCUGAAACAAAAGCUAGAGGAAGAAAGCAGUGCAUUUUAUUCUUCUGCCAGACUCUGGGAUGAUGGUGUAAUUCUCCCUCAGAAUACCAGAAAGGUAAUUGCACAGUGCUUACAGAUUAUAGAGCAGCAGAAGUACCAGGUGCUACCUCCUUACCAGUAUCCUGUGAUGAGAAUGUAACUGCAGCCCUUCACAAGUGAUCACCCUUUGAAGUUAGCACUGCAAAUUGGAAAGCUUUAAUAAUAUGCAGAACUCAAACAGCACUUUAAGAAAAGAAAUGGGAAAGAGGAGACACGCAUGCCUGAAAACUAGACAGGAGUAAUGCGUGUAAGUUUUAGUAAAGCACAGAAUGCUGCCUGCAAGGUCAGAUUGCCAGAGCACCGUGGAAGGGCUCCCCUCAGCUUCCUCUGAGGAUACCAGUGCAGUGACCAGGAGGUGAGUUCAAUCCAGAUCACCCCCAUAGGAUAAAAUUAACCUCUUCUCAAAGCGUGCAACAGCAAUAGCACAUUGACUUCUACAUAGUGUUACCGUGCCUACAGGGUCCAAGGUUACACUGUGCUGUUUCACACGUGUUUCUCUCUGUUGCAGCUGCAAGAUUUAAUUUUGUAAAAGAAAGCUGCUCUUAUUUUAACUGUAUGGUUUGAUGUAUUGUAAAUCUCGAAAUUAGGCCACGGAGUACAUUUGAGAAAUAUCUGGGUAAGUAUUUUGGGAAAUAAGCAACAAAACUGAAAUUCUCUGUCUUAAUUAGGGCAGCGAGGCACCUGUGGGUGCCCAAUCCCACAGAUGGGGCACUGGGAAGCCCGUGGCAGGGGUUUGGAACUGGAAGGGCUCUAAGGUCCCUUCCAACCUAAGUUCAUAGUACUACAGAAUGGCUAAGUACUCAUACAAAUAAAUGACCUAAAUUCCUUCAGUGUCACUUUCUGCGCGCUUGCAAAUGGAGACUGCAUCUUUUCAAAGCUGGAAGAAGCCUAACACGGACGUUGCAGGCAGCGGUCACGCUCUUUUGAAGAGUCCAUGGAAAGUCACAGGGAUGUUCACCUCCACUUCAGCCCUGGCCACUUCGCUCAUGUCCUUGGCGUUCAGGAUCAGGAGGUAGGCAGGCUUCGGCCCGGAGCCGGGGCUGAUCACAAUGCUCAGCACCACCCCUGGGAGGUGAUAAAAACAAGCACUCAGCACAGCCAGGGGCUCUCCUGGCUUCCCGUGAUCCUGCUCUGGGAUGAAGAAUUCAGGGAAUGAGUGGGUGCCCUAUAAACCUAGUGCUGCCACCUUCAAAAAUAGGUGCAGGGCUGGGAAUGUGUGAAUAAAUGUGGACAGUGCUUGGCAUGAAUACAACUUCGUGUCCUCCACAGCCAAAGCCUGAAUUCACCCCCCUCCUUUGUGGGGAGGAGGGGUCUACAAAUAAAAACAUACUUGGCUUAAGACAGGUUUAAUUUCAUGAA